Molecule: ribosomal RNA, 858 nt
Filed under: Triticum aestivum (bread wheat)
Lineage: Eukaryota; Viridiplantae; Streptophyta; Magnoliopsida; Poales; Poaceae
Description: partial small subunit ribosomal RNA
Source: RNAcentral
AUGCCUCCAGGAAGGGUGAUGGCCCCAGCUCCAGGACAAGAAAAGAGGAUCCUGGAACCUGAUGAACCUUCCCUUAAUAGAGUCACAAGGCAGAAAGUAAGGAUGGCGACUGCGACGGACCAUCAGGAAAGUAUGCUGCUCAUGGACUCUCAGACCUCGGUGCAAACGGGUGAUGAGUUGUCGCCCAUGGAUGAAGAUGCAAUGACUCCCAAGACUAGACUUAGAAAGGGCAGAGGGCUAGAGAGGAUCACCAAGUCGCUUGGUAGCAAGGUGCCUAUCCAAAUUGCCGAAGGGAUGAUUCAUCCAGAGAAGCCUCUGCAGGCAGCAAAGCUUGCUUCUGAGUGUGGACUCGUUGCAAAAAGCCAUCUUCCGGUUCUUCCUCACUUCAAGCUAUAUAAAAAAAAUGCUAGUCUAUUGGAGAACUACAUUGGGAAAGUUGCUGCAAAUUUUGAGAUGAACACGGACUCGGAGACCAUCAAGACCUCGUGCAAAGAUAUUCUACAGAAAUAUUCAAAGAACAGACGCCAUCAGAUGAAGAAGAAGUAUUUUGAUACCGUAGCCGCAAAUAAGGUCAGCAUUAAGUCUCCGGUUCCUGAUCUAGCGGAUGGUGAAUGGCAAGCUCUGGUGGAGAUGUGGUCUACCCCAAGACACAAGGAAACCUAUUUGUCGAACAAGAUGAAUCGACAAAAAGUCGUGUACAAUCAAAGAACUGGUUCCAGGCACUACACAGCACACAUUUUUGCCACUAAAGAAGAGCGUAAGGGUGAGGAGCUGUCUGUGAUUGACUUGUUUAAGGCCACCCACAACAGCAAGAAGCACGGGUUUUCGGAGCCAGUCAAGACUGCUAUAGUAAUUUGA